GGAGGGGGUGAACUGGGAUCUUGGUGUGCAGCGCGAGUUGUGUUUUGCCUCAAAUUUUCUCGUUCUUUUCCCCACCAAAAACUUGAUUGGACAAUCAUUCUAUUAAUAAAGUUUUUCUCACUAUAAAUACACACAUCUCUUCCAUGCUAUUUUUCGCAUUUAAUUAUUGUUCCCUGCAGGAUCUUGAAAACAAUGUAAUGCUUGUACCAUCUGAAAAUUCUGGCAUAAAUUCAUAGCCACACAUCGUAAUGAUAUUUUCUCAAUAGUCUCAACUAAAUCCCUCUGACCAUUUUGCAACACUCCCCUUUAAUGGGAGUAGUUUUCAAACAAUUUGGUUAUUAGAGCAGGGGGGUCCCAUCAGAUCAUAUUGAAUUGGACCUUGGGUUAUCCACGCACAGAACAAGAUGCUGUCGCGAAGAAAAUAUUCCUCAGAUUUAUUUAGUCCACCUCCCAAGUUACUGUCUUAUCUCUUACGCCUGCCUCUGCCCCCA
This 491-nucleotide long non-coding RNA is filed under the name Setaria viridis. RNAcentral describes it as "long non-coding RNA (SVIR_LNC010121)". Lineage: Eukaryota; Viridiplantae; Streptophyta; Magnoliopsida; Poales; Poaceae. The record is from RNAcentral.